Molecule: ribosomal RNA, 227 nt
Filed under: Aedes (Diceromyia) sp. 1 PK-2017
Lineage: Eukaryota; Metazoa; Arthropoda; Insecta; Diptera; Culicidae
Description: partial large subunit ribosomal RNA
Rfam family: Eukaryotic large subunit ribosomal RNA
Source: RNAcentral
ACCCGUCUUAAACACGGACCAAGGAGUCUAACAUGUGUGCGAGUUUUUGGGUGGCAAACCCAUGAGCGUAAUGAAAGUGAAUGCAGGUGGGAUCCGCAGGGAGCACCAUCGACCGAUCCUGAUGUUUUCGGAUGGAUUUGAGUAAGAGCAUAUAUGUUGGGACCCGAAAGAUGGUGAACUAUGCCUGAAUAGGGUGAAGCCAGAGGAAACUCUGGUGGAGGCUCGCA